GCCAUCAGAGAUGAAAACACAGUCCCCGUCGGGUAGUCGUGGACGUGCGGGAGUCCACAUCAGCAACCUGCCUCCUUGGUUGUCCCUUCUCUGCAUGGUCAUC
Regulatory RNA element from Propionimicrobium lymphophilum ACS-093-V-SCH5, 103 nucleotides. It matches the Rfam family "azaaromatic riboswitch aptamer (yjdF RNA)". The record is from Rfam. NCBI's taxonomy places the organism in Bacteria, Bacillati, Actinomycetota, Actinomycetes, Propionibacteriales, Propionibacteriaceae.